Molecule: non-coding RNA, 1042 nt
Organism: Misgurnus anguillicaudatus (oriental weatherfish)
Lineage: Eukaryota; Metazoa; Chordata; Actinopteri; Cypriniformes; Cobitidae
Source: RefSeq, a predicted model, not a curated record
UUUAACCAGAUAAUUAUUCUCUUGGGGGCAAGAAAAGUAAAUGGGCGCAAUUUCUUUGCUCUGUUUUAAUACUUAAUAUUCUUGUAAUAGUGCAACAAAAUGGAAGAGACAUUGGAUAAAGAGAUCCCACCAACUGAAGUAAAACUUUCUAAUGAAGGUGGAAUUCGAUUACGGCUGAGAGACAGAGACCUGCUGAAGAAACGAAAGGCUGAGGCAGAAGAAAAGGCAACAAACCAGUGGGUUUAUGGGUAAAGAUCAUGAUGAUAUGGUGGGGAGGAGAGUUUUACAUAAACCACUGAGACUGAUGAGCAGUGAUAUUGUUUUCUAUUUAUAUUACAUUACGGGCACAAAGCAUCAAAAGAGCAAAAAAGAAGUCCAGUGGUACCCCAGGAAGGAAAGGUCGUCCAAGAAAACAGCACCCUGUAGUUGUACCAGAAGAAGAUAUCUGUGUGGGUCAGGAAAUAGGUCCUACCUCCGUCACACUUCCCGUUCCACUACCUGCAUUAUCCACGGAAGUCGAGACAACAACUUUACAACCAGCUGAACCACAACCAGUGCCCGUGUUUGUGGAAACAAUAAAGGAAAAACCUCUCGAAACAUUUCUCAUUGAGGAUUUGGGACCUGAUGAGGAGGAAGACAUGCCUCCAAAAAGGCUUAUAAUUGAUACAGGUGACGAUGAACAGCGGUGGGCUGAUGCACCUGAACAGAGUCAAGCCUCAGUGUCAGCAUUUCCUCCAGCUACUGUUUCAUCCUAUCCAGAAAGCUUACCUGAGAAUAUACCCGAGCCCCUUAUUUGAGUACCUGUUGUGCGCAAUACAAACAUGUUUGCCAAUGAAUUUUUAUUGGAAUCCUACAACAAGAACAAAUGUAUAUUUAUUGAAAUUAUUCAUGUGUUUUUGUGUGUAUAUAUAUGCUGCACAUCAGUACUCUGUGAAUAAGUUAAAAGUUUACUAAAAUUUAAGUAAGUUUACUAAUACUCAAAUCACAAGUAAACAAGUCACAAAUUAUUUGUAUAACUGACUUUAAACUAAACUAAAACAAA